Molecule: long non-coding RNA, 4065 nt
Organism: Diachasmimorpha longicaudata
Lineage: Eukaryota; Metazoa; Arthropoda; Insecta; Hymenoptera; Braconidae
Exons: 5
Source: RefSeq, a predicted model, not a curated record
AUAUAUUGCCACCUGUUGGUACUGGGAUUGUAUUUUUCUCCGCACUUUUUUCUCGCAUGUCCAGCAAAGCCUCCUUAAUUAAUAUAAUUAUAUACAUUCAUCAAAAUGGAUGGAGAGUUGCAUAAACAUGGUCGUGGUAUGAAAUACAAGAGGCUCCACACCUGCGUGACCUCAUCGACGCUAUCAUAGUCCACUGAUCAGUAUCAGGAUUGUAAACUUCAGCUGUGCUCAGGCACUCGUGUCCAUUGAACCCUCCCACGAUGUAAAUUUUAUCUAUCGCCAAAAAACCGGAAAAAAUUGAGUUGCAGGACAAUUGCAAAUACGUCAUCAAUGCAGUUGUAGCACUCCCGUCAGAUCUCUGUCGAUUCAUGGAGGCAAUGAGUGACCACUGGUUCUCCUUGUAAUUGUAUCUCUCCACACUAUUGAGCCGACGGUGUCCGUUGUAGCCGCCAAUUGCAUAAAUCAUGUCAUUCAGAACAGCGACACUGACGUAACAUCUUCUAGAGUUCAUAGGGGCAACUUCCCUCCAGGUUUUCGUAACAGCAUUGAAGCACCGACAACUGCUGAAGUAGACUUUAGCUUCUAUGUUCGUUCCACUGGCAUUGUCGAAGCCACCAAUGACGUAAAUAUUGAAGCCAAUUGCUGCUAAUCCGUGAUAGGCACGACCUCCAAUUGGAUCCAUCUCAGCUAACUUGAAAAAGGAAUGUAAUUUCAUUUACGGUGUGUUCAAUGUGUGCCAUUAAAUGAAUAGAUUUUUAUCAAUGAUGACACCCACUGGAAUCCAGCGAUCGGCCCUGGUAUCAUAAGUCUCUAUAGCAGAAGUGGUUUUGUUAGCCCUCCAUCCUCCAAUAGCGAACAAGAUCUCAUGAGGAACCCUCGGUCUUGCAAUCUCCGGAGUGGCCAGCUGUCCAUCCUUCUGGGUAAUCAUCUCCAGAUCGUAGAGAAACGUGAGGGUCUCGAUGAUGAUCGGUCGACAUGACUCGACCCCAGCUACGUAAUGAUGCUCCUUCACUCUUUCCAGAAAGUACUGGGUGUCCAACAAGCCCAGCCUGAUAGUCUUCAAGAGCUCUGCAAUGUACUGCCUUCUCUCCUCAGGAUUGUGAUCAAUCCACUUCACCACCAAUUCCCACACGACAUCCUCGCUCUUAACGUUUAGCUCAUCAGCCCCCACUAAUGGCAAAAGUUUGUCAAUCGACAGCUUGAGGAUGUCUUCAUUCCUCUGAGCAAUAUCAACGAAGUUUUCCAUCAUGAAUCUGUGUGCAUCACGUUCCAAUUCAGUGCAGAAGUGCUCUUUACCGAAUAUCAUUACGGAUAUGCAGUUCUCGGGGGUCAGGUUCUUCUUCACGUACGCACAGCAGAGCUUGGUUAUGCCUGAUAUGCAGAGGUAGUUGGAUGUUAUCAGAAGUUCGCAGACGUUGUCGUGAGUUACUUCCAAGGAGCGCAGGUAGGCGUAUUUUAGGAUGAGUUCCAUUAUCUCGGAGGUGACACCCGGAAGAUGAACUUCCGUUUUUUCAUCGGUGUAGAACGAUGUGGUGAACAGAGUCCUGAAUUUUCGGUCAGAGGGACAAUGAAACAAUGGAAAAAUCGAAGAUUGGGGAAUGAUGAGAACCUGAAGUAAUUGCUGCAUGCUGAUAGUAUAGCUCGAUGAAUUGAAAAGACUCCGCCGUCUUCGAGAUGCACGACAGCGUCACAGAAUAAAUUAUUCUCUCUUAAAUCGUAAAAAGAUUGCAUAGCUUGAGUACUCAUGCAACGUCCACCGUAUUCAAGGACCAUCCCCUCGUCAUUAUCACCAGUUCCAUCCUUGCUCUUUACACUGGAAUUAAUCUCCAUCUUUUAUGCAAGAAAAAGCCCAAUUUGAAGCCCUAGAGUCCCGAUAUCUUGUAUUUUUUAUUUUUCAUUUUCUCCUCUUCAAUUUCUUCUCUCUUUUGCUGUAAUUUUACACUUCUUCGGCGUUGAACAUACAGGUGGGGUUAAACUUGAAAUUUUUCGGAUACCUUUUGGUUAACGAGAGAAUGAGAAGAUAGGGUUGAAACGGUUGAUGUAGUAACGCGCAGUAACAAAAGACAAUAAUCAGUCAACUGGGAAAAUAUUCAGGUACUAAUUUAUUGGGGUGGGGGUGGUGACAGAACAUUAUGGUAUUUAACUGUCAAUCAUCGCGGGGAUUAUUUUGCAGGUCCUAUCCAUAAACAAAUGACGUUUAUAUUUUUCAAUUCAAUUUCUCAAACUGAUUUCGUAAUUAGUGAGGGAAAGUUGAGCUCUCAAAUGGUUUCUCAAUAUUUAUCUGAUCGAUGCAACUAGCAAAAAAUCAGCGACUCCAAUAAAAAAUCCCAAGAUGAUAAAAAAUUCUCAUGAAUGUAACCGUUUUUUCUAUCAUAUGUUGUAAUGGGAAGACAUUACUUUAGUUUUAAAAUUAAGGGACCUGAAGAAGCGAGAUACUGUUUACAAAAUCGUUUAUUUUAGAAAUGAGAUUCUAAAAAAUUUUAGAGGUGUUCAAAGGUAGGAGAGUGAUUUGGAACAGGGGCUAUGUGAGAGUUCCUCUAGGGAACAGAAAAAUGGUGGAAAUGAGGAGAUUGAGGCGUGAGAGUUCUGAGAGCGCCCAAUAUCGGGGGUCCAUCUAAAUAUUGGAAAUUAAGGAGAAUGCGGACUUAUUUGGUUUUAAUGGAGAAUAUGUUUGAGGAUUUGCAGGAUUUCUGCAUAUGGGAAACGAGGAGAUCAGGAAGGUACACAACACACAUUUCCUACUUAUUUCAGAAUAUUUCACCCGAUCCCUCGGUAACUGCCUCAAAGUACCCCCGGGGAACGAGCCCCCUACACUUCCCGGGGCGAACAGAAAUAAACUCAUGAUCCGGUUUAAUCUCAGCACAAUUUUUAUUACAAAAAGACAUUCGCACAUAAAUAGAUCACCGUAAAGAGGCCUCACUAAGAAGCACUAUCCGACUCGACAAUGCCACCCUUUCCCCCGCCGCCGCCUUCCUCAGCAACAGCAGCAGAAUUACCUCUGGCAAUCGCCAGGAAGAACGAAUUAGCAUAGGCAUCACCAGUCCACAUAUUAACAAAAGUGUUCCAUUUAUUGCUGACACUCUCCUGUGUCUCCUGGACGACGCUGAUCCCCAGGCCCACACUCUCCUCCUUCUUGUGUCCGUCCUCCUGACCGCACAGUCUGAAGGUCCAAUGGACAACAGCAAAAGUUGCUGCAUUUGUUGGAAAGGCCCGAAGGAUGGUAGAGUUGAGGCCCUUGAAGAGGCAGGAGAUGCCCUCGUCUCUGACAGACUUCUUCAGGCAAUCGAUACUCCCCAGGAAUUUUCCAUGAACGUCCGCCUGGAGUCUAGACUUUAUAACAUCAAUUGGAUAAGUGAAGAUCCACGAGGCUGUCCCAGCAAGACCACCAGCGAUGAGCAUUGUCCCGGUGGACGUUGGUACUGUUGAUUCAGUCCUUGUGAGUGCCUCGUACGUCAAAAAAUAAAUUCCGUAACCCGGGGCUUCUCGGAGUGCUGUAAUCCCAAGACCUCGAAAGAUACCCGCGAGUCCUGCUGCCCUGUAGAUGUCCUUGAGACACUGAAUCGGUCCUGAGUACUGGCUGGGUCCUGUCGAUCGCAACUGCAUUCGAAUUUUUGCGAGUUCUAGGGGAGCUGCUACGGGAGACUGUGCUAGACCUGCUGCAGCACCUGCCAGGAAGUGGGUGGAGAGGUCGUCCGGAUUUGAGGACUGACGCUGAGCUUCACCGUAGGCACCAAAGAUUAGGGCGUUUAUGAAGGUCACACCUGCCAUUGGGGAGGACAUUCCGCGGUAUAGACCUGUGAUCUGGAAUUUUUUAUUCAUUUAUUUACCUGAAUGGUGGGAGAAGCCCAUAUCAUUCAGUAGAUAAUUCUAGGAAAAUUCAAUAGGAUCCAUGUAUUGAUGAAGACACUGAGGAUAAAAAAGGUUUCUCACCGAUUCCUUUGCCAGAAUUGACCGGAAACAGUGCCAUGUCCCUCUGAAUCGAGGGUUUUUGCUGUCUUGCGUUUGAAUAUGAACUUUUAUUGUAUCCAAAGGAUAUCCCACCACAAGACCGGCGCACCCUGAAAA